CCGGAUGGCGACCGGCGCACGGGUGAGUAACGCGUAUCCAACCUGCCCUUUACUAUGGGACAGCCCGUCGAAAGGCGGAUUAAUACCGUAUGUUGUCAUGUUGAUGCAUAUUUUCAUGACCAAAGGCUUCGGCCGGUAAAGGAUGGGGAUGCGUCUGAUUAGCUUGCCGGCGGGGUAACGGCCCACCGGGGCGACGAUCAGUAGGGGUUCUGAGAGGAAGGUCCCCCACAUUGGAACUGAGACACGGUCCAAACUCCUACGGAAGGCAGCAG
This 272-nucleotide ribosomal RNA is filed under the name uncultured bacterium. RNAcentral describes it as "partial 16S ribosomal RNA". It matches the Rfam family "Bacterial small subunit ribosomal RNA", at positions 84 to 354 of the family's 1533-position model. The record is from RNAcentral.